UGGGGAAUAUUGGACAAUGGGCGAAAGCCUGAUCCAGCCAUGCCGCGUGUGUGAAGAAGGUCUUCGGAUUGUAACGCACUUUAAGUUGGGAGGAAGGGCAGUAAGCGAAUACCUUGCUGUUUUGACGUUACCGACAGAAUAAGCACCGGCUAACUCUGUGCCAGCAGCCGCGGUAAUACAGAGGGUGCAAGCGUUAAUCGGAAUUACUGGGCGUAAAGCGCGCGUAGGUGGUUCGUUAAGUUGAAUGUGAAAGCCCCGGGCUCAACCUGGGAACUGCAUCCAAAACAGGCGAGCUAGAGUAGGGCAGAGGGUGGUGGAAUUUCCUGUGUAGCGGUGAAAUGCGUAGAUAUAGGAAGGAACACCAGUGGCGAAGGCGACCACCUGGGCUCAUACUGACACUGAGGUGCGAAAGCGUGGGGAGCAAACAGG
RNAcentral lists this ribosomal RNA (429 nucleotides) under Pseudomonadota bacterium. RNAcentral's name for it is "Proteobacteria bacterium partial 16S ribosomal RNA". It matches the Rfam family "Bacterial small subunit ribosomal RNA", at positions 355 to 776 of the family's 1533-position model. Lineage: Bacteria; Pseudomonadati; Pseudomonadota. The record is from RNAcentral.